This 71-nucleotide transfer RNA is filed under the name Gammaproteobacteria bacterium. RNAcentral describes it as "tRNA-Gln". It matches the Rfam family "tRNA". Rfam says of the family: Transfer RNA (tRNA) molecules are approximately 80 nucleotides in length. Their secondary structure includes four short double-helical elements and three loops (D, anti-codon, and T loops). Further hydrogen bonds mediate the characteristic L-shaped molecular structure. tRNAs have two regions of fundamental functional importance: the anti-codon, which is responsible for specific mRNA codon recognition, and the 3' end, to which the tRNAs corresponding amino acid is attached (by aminoacyl-tRNA synthetases). tRNAs cope with the degeneracy of the genetic code in two manners: having more than one tRNA (with a specific anti-codon) for a particular amino acid; and 'wobble' base-pairing, i.e. permitting non-standard base-pairing at the 3rd anti-codon position. The record is from RNAcentral. Lineage: Bacteria; Pseudomonadati; Pseudomonadota; Gammaproteobacteria. RNAcentral also lists the same sequence under 1 other name.
UGGGGGGUCGUUUAGUGGUAGGACAACGGACUCUGACUCCGUUAGCCCAGGUUCGAAUCCUGGUCCCCCAG